UGGGUAGUCCGCACGAGCGCACCUUAAGCUUAGUUGCCAUCAUUAAGUUGGGCACUCUAAGUUGACUGCCGGUGACAAACCGGAGGAAGGUGGGGAUGACGUCAAAUCAUCAUGCCCCUUAUGAUUUGGGCUACACACGUGCUACAAUGGACAAUACAAAGGGUAGCAAAACCGCGAGGUCAAGCAAAUCCCAUAAAGUUGUUCUCAGUUCGGAUUGUAGUCUGCAACUCGACUACAUGAAGCUGGAAUCGCUAGUAAUCGUAGAUCAGCAUGCUACGGUGAAUACGUUCCCGGGUCUUGUACACACCGCCCGUCACACCACGAGAGUUUGUAACACCCGAAGCCGGUGGAGUAACCUUUUGGAGCUAGCCGUCGAAGGUGGGACAAAUGAUUGGGGUGAAGUCGUAACAAGGUAGCCGUAUCGGAAGGUGCGGCUGGAUCACCUCCUUUCU
RNAcentral lists this ribosomal RNA (452 nucleotides) under uncultured bacterium. RNAcentral describes it as "bacterial SSU rRNA". It matches the Rfam family "Bacterial small subunit ribosomal RNA", at positions 1077 to 1533 of the family's 1533-position model. The record is from RNAcentral.